Molecule: non-coding RNA, 71 nt
Organism: Parelaphostrongylus tenuis
Lineage: Eukaryota; Metazoa; Nematoda; Chromadorea; Rhabditida; Metastrongylidae
Source: the annotation of a GenBank genome assembly
ACUCCGGUAGUACAGUGUUAGCACGCACCACUAGAAAGGGAGAGAUGUGGGUUCGAUUCUCGCCCAGGGUU